UACGUAGGGGGCUAGCGUUGUCCGGAAUUAUUGGGCGUAAAGAGCUCGUAGGCGGUGUGUCGCGUCGGCCGUGAAAACCUGCAGCUUAACUGUGGGCUUGCGGUCGAUACGGGCAUCACUGGAGUUCGGCAGGGGAGACUGGAAUUCCUGGUGUAGCGGUGAAAUGCGCAGAUAUCAGGAGGAACACCGGUGGCGAAGGCGGGUCUCUGGGCCGAUACUGACGCUGAGGAGCGAAAGCGUGGGGAGCGAACAGG
RNAcentral lists this ribosomal RNA (254 nucleotides) under uncultured bacterium. Its description in RNAcentral is "partial 16S ribosomal RNA". It matches the Rfam family "Bacterial small subunit ribosomal RNA", at positions 524 to 776 of the family's 1533-position model. The record is from RNAcentral.